RNAcentral lists this transfer RNA (73 nucleotides) under [Ruminococcus] lactaris. RNAcentral's name for it is "tRNA-Arg". It matches the Rfam family "tRNA". Rfam says of the family: Transfer RNA (tRNA) molecules are approximately 80 nucleotides in length. Their secondary structure includes four short double-helical elements and three loops (D, anti-codon, and T loops). Lineage: Bacteria; Bacillati; Bacillota; Clostridia; Lachnospirales; Lachnospiraceae. RNAcentral also lists the same sequence under 8 other names. The record is from RNAcentral.
GCACCUGUAGCUCAGGGGAUAGAGCAAUGGUUUCCGGUACCAUGUGGCGGGGGUUCGAAUCCCUCCAGGUGCG